RNAcentral lists this non-coding RNA (213 nucleotides) under Clostridium botulinum. RNAcentral's name for it is "T-box sequence". It matches the Rfam family "T-box leader". From Rfam's summary of the family: Uncharged tRNA acts as the effector for transcription antitermination of genes in the T-box leader family. T-boxes are found upstream of many aminoacyl-tRNA synthetase genes and some amino acid biosynthetic genes usually in Gram-positive bacteria. Lineage: Bacteria; Bacillati; Bacillota; Clostridia; Eubacteriales; Clostridiaceae. The record is from RNAcentral.
UUUAUUACUGUGAUAAGGAAUAGUAAAAUUUAAUUCUUUUUAAAGAGAGGGAACGUAUGGUGAGAUGUUUCUAAAAGAAUACUUUUGAACCAGCCUUUGAGUUCUGUACUGAAAUUAUAGUAGGAUACAGCGGUUUUUACCGUUAAAAAUUUGAGAGAAUAUAUUAUUUUUAUAUAUUAAUAAGGGUGGUACCACCGUGACUCGGUCCCUAUU